CGAGUAACAAAGAAUGUCGAGCAAUCUCAGCCGUCUAUUCUCGUCGCCGCCGACUCUCUCCGCGCUACCGGCGGCGAGUCGCCUGACUGCCAACUCGUUGAGCCGGCUCGUUAGCUCCUCGUCCAAUCAACAACCUUCUCGAUCGGAGCAAGGUGUGUCUAGCGAGGAACAACGAGAGGCCGGGAAAGGAAGUUUGCCGAAUCAACACGAGGCUGCCAUAGAUGAACGAGACGGUGAAGAUGAAGGAGUUGAUAUAAAAGAAGCGACCGGCGAGGUCGGUGGACCUAAAGGCCCCGAGCCCACCCGCUACGGCGAUUGGGAACGAAACGGUCGGUGCUACGAUUUCUGACAUUUCGAGGAAUAAGGGAUCCAUGGAUAAAGGCGCUAAAUGGUGAUUCAACAUGGAUUCGACAUCUUGG
Molecule: unclassified non-coding RNA, 419 nt
Filed under: Hevea brasiliensis (rubber tree)
Lineage: Eukaryota; Viridiplantae; Streptophyta; Magnoliopsida; Malpighiales; Euphorbiaceae
Source: RNAcentral